ACGGGAGGCAGCAGUGGGGAAUAUUGCACAGUGGGCGAAAGCCUGAUGCAGCGACGCCGCGUGAGCGAAGAAGUAUUUCGGUAUGUAAAGCUCUAUCAGCAGGGAAGAUAAUGACGGUACCUGACUAAGAAGCACCGGCUAAAUACGUGCCAGCAGCCGCGGUAAUACGGAUGGUGCAAGCGUUAUCCGGAUUUACUGGGUGUAAAGGGAGCGCAGGCGGUACGGCAAGUCUGAUGUGAAAGCCCGGGGCUCAUCCCCGGUACUGCAUUGGAAACUGUCGAACUAGAGUGUCGGAGGGGUAAGUGGAAUUCCUAGUGUAGCGGUGAAAUGCGUAGAUAUUAGGAGGAACACCAGUGGCGAAGGCGGCUUACUGGACGACAACUGACGCUGGGGCUCGAAAGCGUGGGGAGCAAACAGGAUUAGAUACCCUGGUA
Molecule: ribosomal RNA, 434 nt
Filed under: uncultured Roseburia sp.
Lineage: Bacteria; Bacillati; Bacillota; Clostridia; Lachnospirales; Lachnospiraceae
Description: partial 16S ribosomal RNA
Rfam family: Bacterial small subunit ribosomal RNA
Source: RNAcentral